Molecule: ribosomal RNA, 433 nt
Filed under: uncultured bacterium
Lineage: Bacteria
Description: partial 16S ribosomal RNA
Rfam family: Bacterial small subunit ribosomal RNA
Source: RNAcentral
AACGAACGCUGGCGGCAUGCCUAACACAUGCAAGUCGAACGAGACCUUCGGGUCUAGUGGCGCACGGGUGCGUAACGCGUGGGAACCUGCCCUUAGGUUCGGAAUAACUCCCCGAAAGGGGUGCUAAUACCGGAUAAUGUCUUCGGACCAAAGAUUUAUCGCCUUUGGAUGGGCCCGCGUUGGAUGAGCUAGUUGGUAGGGUAAGAGCCUACCAAGGCGACGAUACAUAGCUGGUCUGAGAGGAUGAUCAGCCACACUGGGACUGAGACACGGCCCAGACUCCUACGCGAGGCAGCAGUGGGGAAUAUUGGACAAUGGGCGAAGGCCUGAUCCAGCAAUGCCGCGUGAGUGAUGAAGGCCUUAGGGUUGUAAAGCUCUUUUACCCGGGAUGAUAAUGACAGUACCGGGAGAAUAAGCUCCGGCUAACUCCGUG